AUCAAAAAAAACCUCAGGAACGACCCUGUCAAUGGCGUUGGAUUAUACUUUGAAGUUCUCUGAUGCUGCCAAAAGUUCACCUCCUUGUCGUUCUCACUUCCAAAAAUCAGUUCACUUACGAGACUGGUGGCUAACUAAACCCAAACCAGAUGAUGACAGAAAGACACUAGGCGUUGCAGGCCUUACGUGCAUUUCCCAACAGAAUCGGGCCGAGCGAUGCUUUUCUUCUGCACCGAUUCUCAAGGUAUACGAUUUCUUUGAAUUAGAGACGGUUGACGGUCUAUGUGUGAUUCUGCAAGGAUACAUUAACAAAAAUCGAACGCUUGGAAAUGGAUUUCGCUCUGAGGUAUUUGAUCAUUUUCUUAUUGGUUUCCCCCCUUAUUGGGAGGAAUUUUGUACAAGAUGGCCCAAAAGAGUAUCUGCUGCCCAAGGUAUGUCAAGAGUAAAUAAGGAUGGGGAAGACUCCAUUGAAGGACAUGACGACUUUCAUGAUAGCUCCCAAGGUAAAUUAUUGAAUCGUGAUAGCCACACUGUGGAUAUGGGAGUUGAAGAUUGUGAAGAAACAAUUUUGAGCAAUAAGGCCAGUAACUUCAUGAAUGCAUCAUCGCUUGAAAUUCCACAUGAGCAUAUAAUAAAAGCUGGGCAUGAAGUUUUAUGUGAUAGAUCUUCUUUGACAUUGGAGUUUGAUGAUGAUCCAAGUCUCAAGAUGAGUUCUGGUAACAAUGAUAUUCACUGUAUGAAGCAUGACGAUGUGAGAGACUAUCCUUCGUCAAAGAAUUUCAAAAUUGAUGCCGAGGACUCGUAUACAGUUUUGAAGUGUUUAUGGGUCUCUAGUAGGCGUGUGACCAGAUCUAUGACAAAGAUGGAUAACAGUAAAAAUCGUUCAACACAUGGAUCUGUACUAGAUGAUAUAAUCAAUUUGGACCAAUCAACUGAUUUUGAUCCUGGUAAUUUGGGAAGUUCUGACAUUCCAAGGAAGGAUAUUAACAAUUCCUUAUCUAAUAACAAGGCUGUAAAUGUUGUAGAUUGUGAUGGAACAAACUUUCUGCAUCAUGGUGCUUCAAGUUCUAUUAAGACUGCUGCUGAAAAAUUGGAAUUGUUGAACUUGAGAAGUUAUCAGAAAGGAAAUUCCUCUUCUGGUUGUGGUGUGAAGUGCGAAAGCAGGAAGAAUAUUUCAACGUCUGAGGGAAAUCUAGAUGAGCAGAAUUUGAAGAAAAUUUCUUCAAAUCUUUCUUUUAUAUACGAAAAUGGGUCAAAUGAAGCUUCAACUUGCUCUAGUGACAUGGUCUCAAGGAUUAAAUCAAAACGAAAACAGAAUGUCCAAUAUGUUGGUGAUGUUACCGAGGAUCUGAGAAUCAAAUUAGCUUCUCAAGUUGGUACUUCUAAUCUGAGGAAAAAUAUUGAUGCUGAUGUAAUCAGUGAAUCACAGAUUGCCACAAGAAGUGAUUUAGAGGCAAAACACUUCAAAGCCAAGCGUUCAAAUCCUUUGGAUCCAUUAAGUACCACAAGCAUGGAUGUUGGAUGCCUAGUAAAUUGUUCCACUGAGAAUUUCAACUUUGCUUCAAGCAAUAUAGAUCUAGAUGACAACAUAGUCAUUUCAAGAACAAACAUGAAAGCUUGUCGAAAUAAGAAGAAAGACGCAGCACGUGAAGUCACCGGUAUGAUUGAUGUCUCAGACAAUAGAGGUGCCUUUAAGGCUGGAGCUGCAAAGCAAGGAAUUGUGUUCAAAGAAGCAAGCAUGACAAGAUCUAAAUCAGGAAGGCAAUGCAUAACAAGUCCUAAAUCAGCUAAAUCUACCUCAAGGCUUGAUCUCAAACACCCAACAAGGACAUCAGCUGGGAAGGGCUUCAAGGAUAGAUAUGGAAGUGCAAACAUUUUGUCUCCAGAAUCUUUCAGUGGCAAAAAAUCUAGAUCAGGAAGAGUGCUUCUGCCUGCCUUGGAAUUCUGGCGCAACCAGACGGUGGUUUAUGAUGCGGACCGACAAGUUACUGGAGUCCUGGAAGGAACCUAUAUCACACAAUCAUCAAGAGUAGAUAUUUCCGAAGAUAACAAGGAAUUUAAUAAGAAACCUAGAAAAACAUGCAAACCAUGAAUGUUCGCAGUUAUCAGCAUUUGCACAUUUUCAUAGGUGAAUGUGCCAGUGCUUGCUGGAAAAAAUCUACUAUAGUCAUGACUUGGCUUGUUUUAGGGCAGAAAGCGGAUGAUUUCGACGAGGCCCUCCCCUUUAACCCGAACAGCCAGAUUAAUUACAGGUCAUCCCCUACCUCCGGAUCCAUGACUAUAUAAGCUAUUCUUAAGAGAUUUAAUAUAGAUGAAAUCGUCAGAAGCUUCUUGAGUUCUGGUCUAACUUUCUGGUUCUUAGGCCUAAUAAAGAACGGACUAUAGAGCAUUUUUUAUGCCUUUUUAAGUUUUGAGCAAUGGGUUUCUUUCAAAAUCCGUCUUGUUGGUAGGGGUCGUGAUGAAAGCCUCGAGUGUACCACAAAAGUAUAUCUUUUGUUCAUUGA
This is an RNA transcript of Cynara cardunculus var. scolymus (artichoke), 2504 nucleotides long. It is a transcript of the gene named kinetochore-associated protein KNL-2 homolog, with no coding region annotated. The transcript is spliced from 12 exons. The record is from RefSeq and is a predicted model, not a curated record. Lineage: Eukaryota; Viridiplantae; Streptophyta; Magnoliopsida; Asterales; Asteraceae.